This 254-nucleotide ribosomal RNA is filed under the name uncultured bacterium. RNAcentral's name for it is "partial 16S ribosomal RNA". It matches the Rfam family "Bacterial small subunit ribosomal RNA", at positions 524 to 776 of the family's 1533-position model. The record is from RNAcentral.
UACGUAGGGUGCGAGCGUUGUCCGGAAUUAUUGGGCGUAAAGAGCUCGUAGGCGGUCUGUCGCGUCGGUCGUGAAAACUUGGGGCUUAACCCUGAGCUUGCGGUCGAUACGGGCAUGACUGGAGUUCGGCAGGGGGGACUGGAAUUCCUGGUGUAGCGGUGAAAUGCGCAGAUAUCAGGAGGAACACCGGUGGCGAAGGCGGGUCUCUGGGCCGAUACUGACGCUGAGGAGCGAAAGCGUGGGGAGCGAACGGG